RNAcentral lists this ribosomal RNA (469 nucleotides) under uncultured bacterium. RNAcentral's name for it is "partial 16S ribosomal RNA". It matches the Rfam family "Bacterial small subunit ribosomal RNA", at positions 28 to 507 of the family's 1533-position model. The record is from RNAcentral.
GACGAACGCUGGCGGCGUGCUUAACACAUGCAAGUCGAACGGAAAGGCCCUGCUUGCAGGGUGCUCGAGUGGCGAACGGGUGAGUAACACGUGGGUGAUCUGCCCCUUACUUUGGGAUAAGCCUGGGAAACUGGGUCUAAUACUGGAUAGGACCAUGCUGUCGGUGGUGUGGUGGAAAGAUUAGUUUCGGUAAGGGAUGAGCUCGCGGCGUAUCAGCUUGUUGGUGGGGUAAUGGCCUACCAAGGCGUCGACGGGUAGCCGGCCUGAGAGGGGGGACGGCGACAUUGGGACUGAGAAACGACCCAGAAUCCUACGGGAGGAAGCAGUGGGGAAGAUUGCACAAUGGGGGGCAGCCUGAUGCAGCGACGCCGCGUGGGGGAUGACGGCCUUCGGGUUGUAAACUCCUUUCAGCCAUGACGAAGCCCUUGUGGUGACGGUAGUGGUAGAAGAAGCACCGGCUAACUACGUG